AUUUCAUGAUGGGGUCAAUCUUGAAUGUAUCCUUACAAAUGCUCCCAUGCUUCUGAAAUGGUUUCUGUCUUCUGCUAUUAGAAACUCGUAAUCUUUGCUCUUAAGGA
Molecule: small nucleolar RNA, 107 nt
Filed under: Sorghum bicolor (sorghum)
Lineage: Eukaryota; Viridiplantae; Streptophyta; Magnoliopsida; Poales; Poaceae
Description: Plant small nucleolar RNA R71
Rfam family: Plant small nucleolar RNA R71
About the family: R71 is a member of the C/D box family of snoRNAs containing the C (UGAUGA) and D (CUGA) box motifs. Multiple nearly identical copies of this snoRNA have been identified in Arabidopsis, and it is thought to function as a 2'-O-ribose methylation guide for 18S ribosomal RNA.
Source: Rfam by way of RNAcentral